UCUAUUACCCAAUCACUCCUUCCAAUCAAGUUUUCUUGGAGCAUGUCUCAUACAUGAACCAGAUAUUUGACUUCAGACUGACUUCCAUAUUAACAGUAAAAUGUAAAAAAAAAAAACUUAAAUUAUACCUUGAUAACAUCCUGAUACUUGUAUCAAAACAUUAUCUUUACAAACAUAACAUAGAUAUAAAUUACAAAUACUAUGUAAUGUCUGCAAUUAAAUACUAUUAAAAAUAAUAAAUAUUCAUCCAGACGAACCAUUGAAAAAUAAUAAAAUUAUUUAAAAUUAUCUACACUACUGUAAACACUUCACCGUUAUGACAUAUGAAAAUAAGUCUUACUUGUGAACCGUUUAAUACAACUCAUUAUCUAUCUUUCAAUUUAAUAAUCAAAUACAUAUAACCAUUUCACACUCAAACCCAUAUUUGAAAUAACUUGAUAAAAUUCAUUUAAAAAUAAUGCAUUAAUAUCUCUUUAGAAUAUAAAAUUGUGAUAAUGCAUGUUCAUUGACAUGUCAUCAUCGUAUUUUGCUGUCAAAGAUCUCAUUCACUAUGAGGUGUGUAAUUAGUCAUGGUCUUAGCUUCUUGUGAAGUGUAUAGUCAACAAAAACUACCCUUUGAAAAUGGGUCGAAUCGUUAUACGAUUUUAGCCUACUGAUAAGAAUUUGUUGACUAUUUUGUGUAUUUCUUUGUAAUAAAAAUAUCAACAAAUCCAGGUUGAUUGCAAUCCGACAUUUGUCUAAUUGUAAAAAUCCAUAUAUACAAAAAUAUUACAAACUUUCACACACUUCUUGCAAAAACAUCAAAUACUCAUUAGUCUAUUCUUAUAAUUAAAUAGUUAAUCAUCUUUCAUUGGCUUUCAUUUCCCAGUUCACUCAAUCUAUCCCAGACCAUUUCUACAGAUAGCCAAAGUCUCGAUAUGCAACCAGAGUUAAAAUGCAUCCAAUAACUUACUUUAAAAAACAAUAUUUCAGACAACUCCAAGCUCCCUCCUAUAUAUUGUAUAACAAUAUCAAACGUAAUGUGUAUUGACAAAACUGUUUAUAUUUAAGUUGAAGUUGUUUAUUAAGAUAACGUUAAUACCGUACCGUUUUAUUUAAGGUUACGUUAUUACAUCUUAUCAUGGCAACACUAAAACUCAAUAUUUUAUCAUGGCAACCCCGCAAUGAAGCGUCCCGGAAGUGACAGAGGGGAUGUGUUAAGCUUCUAUCUGAUCAAACUGACCAUUGUUACUGGCUCAGUUUUGAAUUUCACCCUGUGUCGUGAAGUGAAAUGUAAUUGUGAAGUGUAAUGAAUUUUGUUGCUGAAGAAAAUAAUUGGCUCUAAUGAAUGAAUCCGGGUCGCUGGAUGAGUUGGGUGACCCUGAAUCUACCCUUUAGAUACGUAAGGCGUUUUUGAGUAAGCUGAUAUGUAAUUAGUCCUCCUAAUUAUAUGACGACAUUUUAUAAAUGUUCCAAGUAACGAGGUAUCGAAUGCCACUGAAUGCUGUCCUGUUAUUUUAUUUUGAGGUAAUGUUAGUCCCUACAAUGCAAGUUACAUCGGUAGAGUGCAGCCAAGAGGAGAAAAAAUUAUAUUGAUAAUAUUAUAAUAUAUAUAUAUAUAUAUAAUUUAAAAAAUUUCAAGAAAAAUCCAAAUCAUAUUGUUCACAUUCCAGUUUUCUUACGGCAGCAAAAAUGUAGCCGACGAGGCUACUCUAUGUAAUAAACUAUUUAUAUAUAAUCCUGGUCACGGCACCAAAAAUUGUACCUUACCCCAUCUACUACUAAACUUAAUUAACUAAAAUUCAACCAGGAUUAAAUAAAAAUAGGAAAAUAAAUAAAUUUGGCCAUGUGAUCGUCUAGGGUAUUUACGUUGUGAACCUUAGUACCCUUCGUCUUUUAUGUGAAAACUGAUACGAUUUGGAUUUCUCAAAACUAUCCCUAAAUAUCCUAUGAAUUUGUAAAUAUUCCUACUGUAUAUUUUUAUUAACACUAUUGUUAGACAAAUAAAAAAAAUAGUAAAUAAUAUAUAUUUUUUAGAAUUUAUCUCCUACCGGGCCCUACCGUGACCAGUUACCGUGAACAGUAGUAAGCCCUUUUUGUUUGUAAUUUAAAACUUAUAUUUUCCUUUUAAUAUAUCUCUUCGCUAACCUAGCUAGCUAAAGGAAAAUAUGUAUAUGUAACCAUUGUAACCAUAAAUAAAUAUUGCAAAGAAUAGUAAGUACAAACAUACUUUAUCUACUGUCACGCCCGGAUGAAGACGGGUCUCUAAGCUAAUUAAUACCCAUUUUAUUUUAUUUUAUUUUUAAUAGGUAUUCCUAAGCACCAUGUAAUAUUACUCUACCAACGUUUCGUAACCUAAUUUCAGACGAGAAGAAACGCCAAGAAACUCAUCUGAAUGUACUAUUAAUGUAUGGAAUACUGAAAACAAUCGUCUAUUAAAUAUGACUUUAUUUACCCUUUAAUUCCCCAGUUAUAGAAAAGCUCAAUUGUCACUAGUGAACUGCUCCGCCUGUCACUAGCUCCCUAUAACAAAAUUAUUUAGUAUGUCCUCAAAUAACUUUGUUCCCCUAUCUCACCCAAUGUAAAAAUAUAUAAACCUUCAAUCAUAUUUAAUGUACGAGCCUCAGUAACCCAUCCAUAUGCUACUGAAGAUAGAUUUUAAUUUAUUUUGUAAUUAAAACAGUUAAAACUCUAA
Long non-coding RNA from Cydia pomonella (codling moth), 2674 nucleotides. RefSeq lists it as uncharacterized. The transcript has 5 exons. Lineage: Eukaryota; Metazoa; Arthropoda; Insecta; Lepidoptera; Tortricidae. The record is from RefSeq and is a predicted model, not a curated record.